RNAcentral lists this ribosomal RNA (819 nucleotides) under Triticum aestivum (bread wheat). RNAcentral's name for it is "partial small subunit ribosomal RNA". The record is from RNAcentral. Lineage: Eukaryota; Viridiplantae; Streptophyta; Magnoliopsida; Poales; Poaceae.
AUGGAUGAGGUCACAAGGGGUAUACAAGGAGAUAUCCCAUGGUGUAUGCUCUUUGCGGAUGAUGUGGUGCUAGUUGACGAUAGUCGGACGGGGGUAAAUAGGAAGUUAGAGUUAUGGAGACAAACCUUGGAAUCGAAAGGGUUUAGGCUUAGUAGAACUAAAACCGAGUACAUGAUGUGCGGUUUCAGUACUACUAGCUGUGAGGAGGAGGAGGUUAGCCUUGAUGGCCAGGUGGUACCUCGGAAGGACACCUUUCGGUAUUUGGGGUCAAUGUUGCAGGAGGAUGGGGGUAUUGAUGAAGAUGUGAACCAUCGAAUCAAAGCCGGAUGGAUGAAGUGGCGCCAAGCUUCUGGCAUUCUCUGUGACAAGAGAGUGCCACAAAAGCUAAAAGGCAAGUUCUACAGGACGGCGGUUCGACCCGCAAUGUUGUAUGGCACGGAGUGUUGGCCGACUAAAAGGCGACAUGUUCAACAGUUAGGUGUGGCGGUGAUGCGUAUGUUGAGAUGGAUGUGUGGCCACACGAGGAAGGAUCGAGUCCGGAAUGAUGAUAUACGAGAUAGAGUUGGGGUAGCACCAAUUGAGGAGAAGCUUGUCCAACAUCGUUUGAGAUGGUUUGGGCAUAUUCAGCGCAGGCCUCCAGAAGCUCCAGUGCAUAGCGGACGGCUAAAGCGUGCGGAGAAUGUCAAGAGAGGACGGGGUCGACCGAUUUUGACAUGGAAGGAGUCCGUUAAGAGAGACCUGAAGGAUUGGAGUAUCGACAAAGAGCUAGCUAUGGACAGGGGUGCGUGGAAGCUUGCUAUCCAUGUGCCAGAGCCAUGA